Molecule: ribosomal RNA, 1200 nt
Filed under: Pratylenchus vulnus (walnut meadow nematode)
Lineage: Eukaryota; Metazoa; Nematoda; Chromadorea; Rhabditida; Pratylenchidae
Description: eukaryotic LSU rRNA
Rfam family: Eukaryotic large subunit ribosomal RNA
Source: RNAcentral
UUGUACGAGCUCGGAUCCACUAGUAACGGCCGCCAGUGUGCUGGAAUUCGGCUUACAAGUACCGUGGGGAAAGUUGCAAAGCACUUUGAAGAGAGAGUUAAAGAGAACGUGAAACCGAUGAGAUCGAAACGGAUAGAGUCAGCGUAUCUGACCUGUAUUCAGUCACACAUCUGUCAGUCGUCAUGUGUUGAUUUCCAGACUGGGACAGUGUGUGGCUAGCUGAUUGUUGUGUGGUGCAUUUGCAGGUGGAGUGCGUCGAGACGCUCGGUGUGGCGACAUGAGCUCAGUUUUGAGGCCAGCUUGCUGGUACCCGAAUUGGAGGAAUGUUGUUCACGCUGAGUGAAAUUGGCAAGGCCUACGAGUCCGGUUGGGCAUCGAGCUGGCAGUCGGCGUCGGUCGCAUGCGACACGUGCUGUGCAGUCAGUUCGGUCCUAGUCGAGCUCACAAGCCUAUUCUCGGCGUAAAAGCUGGUCAUCUAUCCGACCCGUCUUGAAACACGGACCAAGGAGUUUAUCGUGUGCGCAAGUCAUUGGGCGUUGAAAACCCAAAGGCGCAAUGAAAGUGAACGCAUCCGCAAGGAGCUGACGUGCGAUCCCGGGUACUGCGGUGCCCGAGCGCAGCAUGGCCCCAUCCCGAUUGCUUGCAAUGGGGUGGAGGAAGAGCGUACGCGGUGAGACCCGAAAGAUGGUGAACUAUUCCUGAGCAGGAUGAAGCCAGAGGAAACUCUGGUGGAAGUCUGAAGCGAUUCUGACGUGCAAAUCGAUCGUCUGACUUGGGUAUAGGGGCGAAAGACUAAUCGAACCAUCUAGUAGCUGGUUCCUUCCGAAGCCGAAUUCUGCAGAUAUCCAUCACACUGGCGGCCGCUCGAGCAUGCAUCUAGAGGGCCCAAUUCGCCCUAUAGUGAGUCGUAUUACAAUUCACUGGCCGUCGUUUUACACGUCGUGACUGGGAAAACCCUGGCGUUACCCAACUUAAUCGCCUUGCAGCACAUCCCCUUUCGCCAGCUGGCGUAAUAGCGAAGAGGCCCGCACCGAUCGCCCUUCCCAACAGUUGCGCAGCCUGAUGGCGAUGACGCGCCCUGUAGCGCGCAUUAGCGCGGCGGGUGUGGUGUACGCGCAGCGUGACGCUACACUGCAGCGCCUAGCGCCGCCCCUUUCGCUUUCUUCCUUCUUUUUCGCACGUUUCGCCGGGCUUUCCGGU